CGCAAGGGUGAAUUGGACUCGGGGGGAAGUAUGCUCGCAAGAGUGAAACUUAAAGGAAUUGACGGAAUAGGCACCACAAGAUGUGGAGCUUGCGGCUUAAUUUGAUUCAACACGGGAAAACUUACCAGGUCCAGACAUAGUGAGGAUUGACAGAUUCAAGUUCUUUCUUGAUUCUAUGCAUGGUGGUGCAUGGCCGUUCUUAGUUGGUGGAGUGAUCUGUCUGGUUAAUUCCGAUAACGAACGAGACCUCAGCCAUCUAACUAGCUGUCACUAUGGAAAAUAGUGCUCGACUCAGGUCGAGUUCAGCUUCUUAGAGGGACAAUCUGUGUUCAGCAGAUGGAAGAUUGAGGCAAUAACAGGUCAGUGAUGCCCUUAGAUGCUCUGGGCUGCACGCGCGCUACAAUGACGCACGCAACGAGUUCCUUGCUCGAAAGAGCUGGGCAAUCUUUAAUGUGCGUCCAAGUAGGGAUAGAUGAUUGUAAUUUUUCAUCUUGAACAAGGAAUAUCUAGUAAACGCAAGUCAUCAACUUGCAUUGAUUACGUCCCUGCCAUUUGUACACACCGCCCGUCGCUUCUACCGAUUGAAUUACUGGGUGAACUGGAUGGAUUGGACUUGGUUUCCGAACCAUGUUUUAGAAGUCCCCGUGAACCCAGUAAUUUA
This 661-nucleotide ribosomal RNA is filed under the name Haplosporida sp. RNAcentral describes it as "SSU rRNA". It matches the Rfam family "Eukaryotic small subunit ribosomal RNA", at positions 1093 to 1775 of the family's 1831-position model. The record is from RNAcentral. Lineage: Eukaryota; Endomyxa; Ascetosporea; Haplosporida.